RNAcentral lists this ribosomal RNA (119 nucleotides) under uncultured bacterium. Its description in RNAcentral is "partial 16S ribosomal RNA". It matches the Rfam family "Bacterial small subunit ribosomal RNA", at positions 1365 to 1482 of the family's 1533-position model. The record is from RNAcentral.
AAUACGUUCCCGGGCCUUGUACACACCGCCCGUCACACCACGAAAGUCGGCAACACCCGAAGCCGGUGGCCCAACCCCCUGGGAGGGAGCCGUCGAAGGUGGGGUCGGUGAUUGGGGUG